RNAcentral lists this ribosomal RNA (400 nucleotides) under phytoplankton environmental sample. RNAcentral's name for it is "partial small subunit ribosomal RNA". It matches the Rfam family "Eukaryotic small subunit ribosomal RNA", at positions 587 to 991 of the family's 1831-position model. The record is from RNAcentral.
AGCUCCAACAGCGUAUAUUAAAGUUGUUGCGGUUAAAAAGCUCGUAGUUGGACUUCUGCUGAGGACGACAGGUCCGCCCUCCGGGUGAGAUUCUGGCUUUGCCUUGGCAUCUUCUUGGAAAACACUACUGCACUUGGCUGUGUGGUGUGGCAUCCAAUGCGUUUACUUUGAGGAAAUCAGAGUGCUUCCAGCAGGCAUAUGUCUUGAACACAUUAGCAUGGAAUAAUAAGAUAAGACUUUGGUUUUAUUUAGUUGGUUUUUAGAACCGAGGUAAUGAUUGAUAGGGAUAGUUGGGGGCAUUUGUAUUUAACUGUCAGAGGUGAAAUUCUUGGAUUUGUUAAAGACAAACUAUUGCGAAAGCAUUUGCCAAGGAUGUUUUCUUUGAUCAAGAACGAAAGUA